UACGUAGGGUGCAAGCGUUAUCCGGAUUUACUGGGCGUAAAGGGUUUCGUAGGCGGUUCGCCGCAUCUCGUUUUAAAGCCCACCGCUCAACGGUGGAAGCGGACGAGAUAUGGGCGAGCUGGAGUCUGUUAGGGGAGGUUGGAAUUCUCGGUGGAGGGGUGAAAUCCGUUGAUAUCGAGAGGAACGCCAAGGGCGAAGGCAAGCCUCUGGGGCAAGACUGACGCUGAGGUGCGAAAGCGUGGGGAGCAAACAGG
RNAcentral lists this ribosomal RNA (254 nucleotides) under uncultured bacterium. Its description in RNAcentral is "partial 16S ribosomal RNA". It matches the Rfam family "Bacterial small subunit ribosomal RNA", at positions 524 to 776 of the family's 1533-position model. The record is from RNAcentral.